GAUGAAGAACGUAGCGAAAUGCGAUAAGUAAUGUGAAUUGCAGAAUUCAGUGAAUCAUCGAAUCUUGAACGCACCUUGCGCUCUUUGGUAUUCCGAAGAGCAUGCCUGUUUGAGUGUCAUGAAAAUAUCAACCUUGACUUGGGUUUUGUGCUCUAGUCUCGGCUUGGAAUUGGGUGCUUGCCGCUUUUACGAGCGGCUCACCUUAAAUGUAUUAGCUGGAUCUGUCUUUGAGACUUGGUUUGACUUGGCGUAAUAAGUAUUUCGCUAAGGACAUUCUUCGGAGUGGCCUCGUUUCUAGGACGCUUGUCCGCUUUCCAAUACAAGUUCCACCUCGUGGACAUGACUUUUUAUUAUCUGGCCUCAAAUCAGGUAGGACUACCCGCUGAACUUAAGCAUAUCAAUAAGCGGAGGA
This 412-nucleotide unclassified non-coding RNA is filed under the name soil metagenome. RNAcentral describes it as "partial contains 5.8S ribosomal RNA, internal transcribed spacer 2, and large subunit ribosomal RNA". The stretch from base 1 to 119 matches the Rfam family "5.8S ribosomal RNA", at positions 35 to 154 of the family's 154-position model. The record is from RNAcentral.